AUUGAACGCUGGCGGAAUGCUUUACACAUGCAAGUCGAGCGGCAGCACGGGGGCAGCCCUGGUGGCGAGUGGCGAACGGGUGAGUAAUACAUCGGAACGUGCCCGGUCGUGGGGGAUAACGUAGCGAAAGUUACGCUAAUACCGCAUACGAUCUGAGGAUGAAAGCGGGGGACCUUCGGGCCUCGCGCGAUCGGAGCGGCCGAUGUCAGAUUAGGUAGUUGGUGGGGUAAAGGCCUACCAAGCCGACGAUCUGUAGCUGGUCUGAGAGGACGACCAGCCACACUGGGACUGAGACACGGCCCAGACUCCUACGGGAGGCAGCAGUGGGGAAUUUUGGACAAUGGGCGCAAGCCUGAUCCAGCCAUUCCGCGUGCAGGACGAAGGCCUUCGGGUUGUAAACUGCUUUUGUACGGAACGAAAAGGCUCUGGCUAAUACCUGGGGCUCAUGACGGUACCGUAAGAAUAAGCACCGGCUAACUACGUG
RNAcentral lists this ribosomal RNA (484 nucleotides) under uncultured bacterium. RNAcentral's name for it is "partial 16S ribosomal RNA". It matches the Rfam family "Bacterial small subunit ribosomal RNA", at positions 30 to 507 of the family's 1533-position model. The record is from RNAcentral.